GAACGUACGCUGGCGGCACGCCUAACACAUGCAAGUCGAACGAAGUAGCAAUACUUAGUGGCAGACGGGUGAGUAACAUGUAGGUAUCUGCCCUUUGGCCUGGAAUAACACGAGGAAACUUGUGCUAAUACCGGAUAAGUCUUUACGGAGAAAGCUUUAUGCACCAUUGGAUGAGCCUGCACUUGAUUAGUUUGUUGGUGGGGUAAUGGCCUACCAAGACUGUGAUCAAUAGCUGAUUUGAGAGGAUGAUCAGCCACAUUGGGACUGAGACACGGCCCAAACUCCUACGGGAGGCAGCAGUGGGGAAUCUUGCACAAUGGAGGAAACUCUGAUGCAGCGAUGCCGCGUGAGUGAAGAAGGCCUUUGGGUUGUAAAGCUCUUUCGUCGGGGAAGAAAAUGACUGUACCCGAAUAAGAAGGUCCGGCUAACUUCGUGCCAGCAGCCGCGGUAAUACGAAGGGACCUAGCGUAGUUCGGAAUUACUGGGCUUAAAGAGUUCGUAGGUGGUUGAAAAAGUUAGUGGUGAAAUCCCAGAGCUUAACUCUGGAACUGCCAUUAAAACUUUUCAGCUAGAGUACGAUAGAGGAAAGCAGAAUUUCUAGUGUAGAGGUGAAAUUCGUAGAUAUUAGAAAGAAUACCAAUUGCGAAGGCAGCUUUCUGGAUCAUUACUGACACUGAGGAACGAAAGCAUGGGUAGCGAAGAGGAUUAGAUACCCUCGUAGUCCAUGCCGUAAACGAUGUGUGUUAGACGUUGGAAAUUUAUUCUCAGUGUCGCAGCGAAAGCGAUAAACACACCGCCUGGGGAGUACGACCGCAAGGUUAAAACUCAAAUGAAUUGACGGGGACCCGCACAAGUAGUGGAGCAUGUGGUUUAAUUCGAAGAUACGCGCAGAACCUUACCAACACUUGACAUGUUCGUCGCGACUCUAAGAGAUUAGAGUUUUCGGUUCGGCCGGACGAAACACAGGUGCUGCAUGGCUGUCGUCAGCUCGUGUCGUGAGAUGUUGGGUUAAGUCCCGCAACGAGCGCAACCCUCACUUUUAGUUGCCAUCAUUAAGUUGGGCACUCUGAAAGAACUGCCAGUGAUAAGCUGGAGGAAGGUGGGGAUGACGUCAAGUCCUCAUGGCCCUUACGUGUUGGGCUACACACGUGCUACAAUGGUAUCUACAACAGGAAGCAAGACUGCGAAGUUAAGCAAAUCCCUAAAAGAUACCUCAGUUCGGAUUGCACUCUGCAACUCGAGUGCAUGAAGCUGGAAUUACUAGUAAUCGUGGAUCAGCGUGCCACGGUGAAUGCGUUCCCGGGUCUUGUACUCACC
Molecule: ribosomal RNA, 1317 nt
Filed under: uncultured Alphaproteobacteria bacterium
Lineage: Bacteria; Pseudomonadati; Pseudomonadota; Alphaproteobacteria
Description: bacterial SSU rRNA
Rfam family: Bacterial small subunit ribosomal RNA
Source: RNAcentral